RNAcentral lists this long non-coding RNA (556 nucleotides) under Bos indicus x Bos taurus (hybrid cattle). Its description in RNAcentral is "lncRNA (ENSBIXG00000006170.1)". Lineage: Eukaryota; Metazoa; Chordata; Mammalia; Artiodactyla; Bovidae. The record is from RNAcentral.
GGCCUCUGUUGCAGCCUGCUCUCUGCCCCGUCCUGCAUCCCUCACUCUCUCACAGGUCUUCUCCCCUGCGUGCAAAUCUCCACUUCGGAGUCUGUCUCCUGGAGAACCCGACUGAAGGCCGUUGGUACUGAGAAUGGUGCCAGGGAGAAAAUUGGAUGGAGGUGAGGAUCCGCUCCCGGAGAGCGCCAAGGACGUGGGAAAGCCUCAGCAAGGGCACACAGCAGUCCGAGCCCUCCGCAGAGGCCCCGAGGAGGGGCGGGCGUCAGUCUGCGGGACCUCAUCACAAGAUCUGAGCGGUGGUCAGCUUCUGCAGCAGAGAGGGCAGUCAGGAAAUCUGCCUGCUUGGGGUUGCUGGGAAGCGUCUGGAUUUUUAGGCUUGGUGACCACAAAUCUGGGUUCGGGGGAGUGGCUGCACAGACCCCGUUCUGGACCUUUUCUGCCUCUGUAUUUGAAGCCCAGACCACGACGGGCUACCGGCUCUGUAUCUUCCAACAGCAAAUAAAUACGUUGAUUAGAGUCACAACUCUCGGGGAGGUUGACACAGACUAUAUUUGUG